AUUGUUGCUGAUUAUGGAGCACCUAGUCCCGUGAACAACGAAAAAUAUCAUGCUGUCAAUGCUAGUAUUGAAAAGUAAGCACAUUUACUAAUUAUCGCUGUUAUAAUUUACCUAUACGAGAUGUAUAAUAGUAUUGAAAUAAACAAAUGUUAUUUGUAUCAAUUUAGAUGUGUUUCAACAAUUAUUUGUAUGCCAUUUUAUAAUUUUAGAUGUCUUUUAGUAACGUCGUUUCUGUUAUAUUAUAUUGAGAUAAAGUACAUAGUGUGUGUAGUCAUGAGCUCCAAGAAGUUGUUGCUGAUUGUGGAGCAACUAACCCCGUGAGCAACGAAGAACACCAUGUUGUCAAUGAAUCGAGUGUAAAGUAAAUACAUGUAUCAAUUAUUGUUGUUUCAAUCUAGGGAUACAAUAUGUACACUAGUAUUUAAGCUGUUGUAAUGUGAAUUUCUUUGGAUUGACUAUCCAUCUUUUAUUUGGGGAGUACAUGACAUCAAAGUGUUUAGAUAUGGUUGUGUAUUUCGGACACCACGAAAGUGUAAAUAAUAUGGAAAGCGGCGAGGUUGAUCAUGGAAUACCCCAAGAUGAUGCUGAAGAGUGCAAUAGGCUUUUCUCGAAACCCACAUCUGUCAAUAACACUCCACCAACGCCUGAUCCAGUUAUAAUCUCACCGGAUUUUGAUGAAGAUGCAAAAGAAAAGGUGUACAGAUGGAUAAUAGAUGGCAUAAAUCUGUUGGAUGAAGUUAUCAUGUGGUACCGGACACAUUAUACGUUGGACCUAGCACGAAGAGAUCUGAAAAUAUUAAAAAGAAGGGAGUGGGUCGACGGUCGGGUGAUAGAGUGCAUGUGUGCCAUCUUUAAUGAGCUCCCAGCCAAGAGGUUUCAAGAAGAAUUCUACUGCAUUAACCCAAUGAUAUUGGGGCGUGUUAUGGCACCUAUAAAUGUUGAAAAAUUUGAGGACAAAUACAACUCAGAGUAUGUGGGAUUAGCAUAAUAUUGGGAGAACGAGAUCCAUCUGUUCAACAAAGUAGAAGCAGCCAAGAGACAUAUGUUCUUUGUACUGAUCUGCCUGGGUAAUCACUGGUGAUUGUAUGCUUUUCAUCGAAAAAGUACGACAUUCUUUGCUCUUGACUCUCUAUUUAGAUCCCCUCUUACUGAUCAUAGGAUGAAAGUUGAUGAAUAUGCGGCCAAGCUUAUUAACGAGUUGGCCCAACUCACUUUUUCAUAGUACAAAGUCCAGGACGAGGGCAUAGGAAAGUCCCUUUAUGUGGAUGUUCCGAUUUAACCAAACAGAUAUGGUUCAAUGUGAUUUCUUAUUUUAUUGGCUAUCAACACCAAAUUAAAUUGAAGCAUAUUUGCUUUUCUCUUGAUUGCUAGUUAUGACUGCAGAGUUUUUGUCAUUAAAUUCAUGGACUCAUGGAAUUCAGAAACUCUUGACAUGGAUGAUUAUGUUGUGCCAGUUUGGACAACGAAAGACAUAGCUAUAACGAGGAGGAAGUACUUACUAGACAUCGUGCUUGAUCCGUAGAAUGAUUAUUUGAAUACCAUAGAGGCUAUUGCCCAUGCCCCUUUACGUCGUGCGCCUCAAAGGAAUAAAAGAAAAGAGUUGAGAGAUUCGUGGAUUGCGCUAAACACUGCUGAGCUGGCAAGAAGAGAAGAAGAGGCAGCAUGCAGGAGGGCCAAUAGGAGAAAUAGGAAAACAUAGCACUGUGCAAAUAUAAUUAGCUAUUAUAAUGGACAUAUUUUGCUCAUUAGUUUAGGAUAUCAUCUCUUUAUUUUUCAUGUUGUUAGGAGACUCAAUUAGCCUUAGUUAUUUUGCUAUGUUUUUCUUUUUUGUUAAUUUUUCAUGCUUUGUGGAUAAAUAACACUUGGUUAUAACAUGUAGAA
This is a long non-coding RNA of Arachis duranensis, 1881 nucleotides long. RefSeq lists it as uncharacterized. The record is from RefSeq and is a predicted model, not a curated record. Lineage: Eukaryota; Viridiplantae; Streptophyta; Magnoliopsida; Fabales; Fabaceae. The transcript has 6 exons.